GAUGAACGCUGGCGGCGUGCCUAAUACAUGCAAGUCGAGCGAACAGACGAGGAGCUUGCUCCUCUGACGUUAGCGGCGGACGGGUGAGUAACACGUGGAUAACCUACCUAUAAGACUGGGAUAACUUCGGGAAACCGGAGCUAAUACCGGAUAAUAUAUUGAACCGCAUGGUUCAAUAGUGAAAGACGGUUUUGCUGUCACUUAUAGAUGGAUCCGCGCCGCAUUAGCUAGUUGGUAAGGUAACGGCUUACCAAGGCAACGAUGCGUAGCCGACCUGAGAGGGUGAUCGGCCACACUGGAACUGCGACACGGUCCAGACUACUACGGGAGGAAGCAGUAGGGAAUCUUCCGCAAUGGGCGAAAGCUUGACGGAGCAACGCCGCGUGAGUGAUGAAGGUCUUCGGAUAGUAAAACUCUGUUAUUAGGGAAGAACAAAUGUGUAAGUAACUAUGCACGUCUUGACGGUACCUAAUCAGAAAGCCACGGCUAACUACGUG
Molecule: ribosomal RNA, 497 nt
Filed under: uncultured bacterium
Lineage: Bacteria
Description: partial 16S ribosomal RNA
Rfam family: Bacterial small subunit ribosomal RNA
Source: RNAcentral